GUGGUAAGGGUCAUGCAGUUCAGAGGAGAAAGCAAGUGUGGCUGAUGAACAUCACGGAGCAGUGACCUUCAUGGACAGACAGAAUUUGAGCUGGCCCUUUAACCAAUGAGGAGGAUUCAAACAGAGUUUGUAUUAUCCUGAAAAGAAAUUCCACUAAAGAUGAAUAGCAGAGAACUGUGUUCAGACUGAAGAAGCAGCACCAGCUUUGAUUUUAAAAUUCAGGCUCCUCAUGCCUGUAAUCCCAGCACUUUGGGAGGCCAAGGUGGGCGGAUCACCUGAGGUCAGGAGUUCAAGACCAGCCUGGCCAACAUGGUGAAACACAGUCUCUACUGAAAAUACAAAAAUUAGCCAGGCAUGGUGGCGUGUGCCUGUAAUCCCAGCUAGUUGGGAGGCUGAGACAGGAGAAUCAUUCAAACCCAGGAGGGGGAGGUUGCAGUGAGCCCAGAUCGCACCACUGCACUCCGGCCUGGGCAACAAGAGCAAAACCCCAUCUCAAAAUAAAUAAAUAAAUAAAGAUAAAAUUCAAGUUC
This is a long non-coding RNA of Pan troglodytes (chimpanzee), 530 nucleotides long. RefSeq lists it as uncharacterized. The transcript is spliced from 3 exons. Lineage: Eukaryota; Metazoa; Chordata; Mammalia; Primates; Hominidae. The record is from RefSeq and is a predicted model, not a curated record.